Molecule: ribosomal RNA, 386 nt
Filed under: Pantomorus albosignatus
Lineage: Eukaryota; Metazoa; Arthropoda; Insecta; Coleoptera; Curculionidae
Description: partial 12S ribosomal RNA
Source: RNAcentral
UUAGAUACCCUAUUAUUUUAAAUUAAAAAUAUUAUACCAGGUUAGUAUUAGUUAUGUUCUUGAAAAUUAAAGAAGAUGGCGGUAUUUUAGUCUGUUCAGAGGAACCUGUCCUAUAAUUGAUGGUCCACGAUUUAUUGUACUUACUUUUUCUAGUUUGCAUAUCCCCGUAGAUUGAAUAUUCUUUAAGGAGAGAAACGUUCAAGAGGUUUUUAAUGUGAAAAUAAAUCAGGUCAAGAUGUAGCUUAUAAGUAAGAAGAGAUGGGUUACAAUAAAUUAAUUUAUUAUGGAUUAAUAAAUGAAAUUUAUUAUGAAGGUGGAUUUGAAAGUAAUUUUAUAAAAAUUUAUAAAAUGAUUCUAGCUCUAAGAUAUGUACACAUCGCCCGCCC